Molecule: ribosomal RNA, 657 nt
Filed under: Salmonella enterica subsp. enterica serovar Kisangani
Lineage: Bacteria; Pseudomonadati; Pseudomonadota; Gammaproteobacteria; Enterobacterales; Enterobacteriaceae
Description: partial 23S ribosomal RNA
Rfam family: Bacterial large subunit ribosomal RNA
Source: RNAcentral
UGGUGGGUAGUUUGACUGGGGCGGUCUCCUCCUAAAGAGUAACGGAGGAGCACGAAGGUUGGCUAAUCCUGGUCGGACAUCAGGAGGUUAGUGCAAUGGCAUAAGCCAGCUUGACUGCGAGCGUGACGGCGCGAGCAGGUGCGAAAGCAGGUCAUAGUGAUCCGGUGGUUCUGAAUGGAAGGGCCAUCGCUCAACGGAUAAAAGGUACUCCGGGGAUAACAGGCUGAUACCGCCCAAGAGUUCAUAUCGACGGCGGUGUUUGGCACCUCGAUGUCGGCUCAUCACAUCCUGGGGCUGAAGUAGGUCCCAAGGGUAUGGCUGUUCGCCAUUUAAAGUGGUACGCGAGCUGGGUUUAGAACGUCGUGAGACAGUUCGGUCCCUAUCUGCCGUGGGCGCUGGAGAACUGAGGGGGGCUGCUCCUAGUACGAGAGGACCGGAGUGGACGCAUCACUGGUGUUCGGGUUGUCAUGCCAAUGGCACUGCCCGGUAGCUAAAUGCGGAAAAGAUAAGUGCUGAAAGCAUCUAAGCACGAAACUUGCCCCGAGAUGAGUUCUCCCUGAGACCUAGAGUCUCCUGAAGGAACGUUGAAGACGACGACGUUGAUAGGCCGGGUGUGUAAGCGCAGCGAUGCGUUGAGCUAACCGGUACUAAUGAACC